GUCUGUCUUGCAGAGGACACUAGGACGAUCAAGGCCAAUAUCCUAGCUGAUGAGCUCGUAGUCUGAUAGAGGAGGCUGACCUGUAAGCAAAUGAUUGGAGAAAAAAUAUGUUGAGAGGCAUGAAUCCAGGGAUGUGGGAGCAGAGAGGGUGGAAGAAGGCAGGAAAGACUUCCCAGAGGAGGGACAUUUGAGCAGGUCCUUUAAGGCUGGCUGGAGGCUUAUAGAAGCGACAGUGACUGAUCCCAUUGGUGGAGGAGGAACAGGAUAGUCUGCCAUUGGCUGCAGUCUUGCAGCAAAGAGACCUAGACUUGUGUCUCCUGGCCUGGGUAGGUUUGUUGGGUAGGUUUUUUAACCCUGAGAUCCAACAGGCUCAGCUUGGGAAUUUCUGGCUUUAGGUUGAGAGAAGGGCUGCUGGGCAGAGCAGAGGCCCACUUGUCCUCCCCAUUGGGAAACUUCCAGGUCCUGAGCUCUCCAGGGAGAUGCCACAGCAGGUCCAGGUCCAGGGCUCUUUCCUGUCUUCUACCACCCUCUCUGCUCCCACAGCCCUGGAUUCAUGCCUCUCAACAUAUGAUUUUUUUUCUCCAAUCAUUUGCUUACAGGUCAGCCUCCUCUAUCAGAAUAUGAGCUCAUCAGCUAGGAUAUCGGCCUUGAUCAUCCUGGUGUCCUCUGCAAGGAGACUUGUGUCUCCCGGCCAGGGUCUGGAAGGCAUGCCUCACCAAACUGAAGUUGAAGCCAAAACCUGGAGGAAGGAUAGAGGGAAGACAGAGGCUGGGUGCAGUGGCUCACACCUGUAAUCCCAGCACUUUGGGAGGCCAUGGUGGGUGGAUCACGAGGUCAGGAGUUCAAGGCCAGCCUGGCUGACAGGGUGACCCCCAUCUCUACUAAAGAUACAAAAAAUUAGCCAGGCAUGGUGGCAUGGGCCUGUAAUCCCAGCUACUCGGGAGGCUGAGGCAGGAGAAUUGCUUGAACCUGGGAGGCGGAGGUUGCAGUGAGCCGAGAUCACACUGUUGCACUUCAGCCUGGGUGACAGGGCGAGAC
Molecule: long non-coding RNA, 1038 nt
Filed under: Pan paniscus (pygmy chimpanzee)
Lineage: Eukaryota; Metazoa; Chordata; Mammalia; Primates; Hominidae
Description: lncRNA (ENSPPAG00000044243.1)
Source: RNAcentral